CCUACGGGAGGCUGCAGUGGGGAAUAUUGCACAAUGGGUGCAAGCCUGAUGCAGCCAUGCCGCGUGUGUGAAGAAGGCCUUCGGGUUGUAAAGCACUUUCAGCGGGGAGGAAGGCGGUGAGGUUAAUAACCUCAUCGAUUGACGUUACCCGCAGAAGAAGCACCGGCUAACUCCGUGCCAGCAGCCGCGGUAAUACGGAGGGUGCAAGCGUUAACCGGAAUUACUGGGCGUAAAGCGCACGCAGGCGGUCUGUCAAGUCGGAUGUGAAAUCCCCGGGCUCAACCUGGGAACUGCAUUCGAAACUGGCAGGCUAGAGUCUUGUAGAGGGGGGUAGAAUUCCAGGUGUAGCGGUGAAAUGCGUAGAGAUCUGGAGGAAUACCGGUGGCGAAGGCGGCCCCCUGGACAAAGACUGACGCUCAGGUGCGAAAGCGUGGGGAGCAAACAGGAUUAGAUACCCGUGUAGUC
This 465-nucleotide ribosomal RNA is filed under the name uncultured Klebsiella sp. Its description in RNAcentral is "bacterial SSU rRNA". It matches the Rfam family "Bacterial small subunit ribosomal RNA", at positions 338 to 795 of the family's 1533-position model. The record is from RNAcentral. Lineage: Bacteria; Pseudomonadati; Pseudomonadota; Gammaproteobacteria; Enterobacterales; Enterobacteriaceae.